GCCCGUGUGGCAAAGUGGUUGGAGCAUUGGACUAUGACUCUGGAGACUAGGGUUUGAAUCCUGGCUCGGUCA
This is a non-coding RNA of Phrynosoma platyrhinos (Desert horned lizard), 72 nucleotides long. The record is from the annotation of a GenBank genome assembly. NCBI's taxonomy places the organism in Eukaryota, Metazoa, Chordata, Lepidosauria, Squamata, Phrynosomatidae.